Molecule: ribosomal RNA, 422 nt
Filed under: uncultured Clostridium sp.
Lineage: Bacteria; Bacillati; Bacillota; Clostridia; Eubacteriales; Clostridiaceae
Description: bacterial SSU rRNA
Rfam family: Bacterial small subunit ribosomal RNA
Source: RNAcentral
UGGGGAAUAUUGCACAAUGGGGGAAACCCUGAUGCAGCGACGCCGCGUGAGUGAAGAAGUAUUUCGGUAUGUAAAGCUCUAUCAGCAGGGAAGAAAAUGACGGUACCUGACUAAGAAGCCCCGGCUAACUACGUGCCAGCAGCCGCGGUAAUACGUAGGGGGCAAGCGUUAUCCGGAUUUACUGGGUGUAAAGGGAGCGUAGACGGCAUGGCAAGUCUGAAGUGAAAUGCGGGGGCUCAACCCCUGAACUGCUUUGGAAACUGUCAGGCUGGAGUGCAGGAGAGGUAAGUGGAAUUCCUAGUGUAGCGGUGAAAUGCGUAGAUAUUAGGAGGAACACCAGUGGCGAAGGCGGCUUACUGGACUGUAACUGACGUUGAGGCUCGAAAGCGUGGGGAGCAAACAGGAUUAGAUACCCUGGUAGU